Molecule: non-coding RNA, 125 nt
Organism: Triticum aestivum (bread wheat)
Lineage: Eukaryota; Viridiplantae; Streptophyta; Magnoliopsida; Poales; Poaceae
Source: Rfam
AUAGUACCCCCUCCAUCCGGAAAUACUUGUCAUAGAAAUGGAUGUAUCUAGACGCAUUUUAGUUCUAUAUACAUCCACUUUUAUUCAUUUCUACGACUAGUAAUUCCGGACGGAGGGAGUACUAG